Molecule: non-coding RNA, 30 nt
Filed under: Rattus norvegicus (Norway rat)
Lineage: Eukaryota; Metazoa; Chordata; Mammalia; Rodentia; Muridae
Source: RNAcentral
UCCUAUGAUGCCUUCAGUGAACUUCCAAAG